RNAcentral lists this ribosomal RNA (253 nucleotides) under uncultured bacterium. RNAcentral's name for it is "partial 16S ribosomal RNA". It matches the Rfam family "Bacterial small subunit ribosomal RNA", at positions 524 to 776 of the family's 1533-position model. The record is from RNAcentral.
UACGUAGGGGGCAAGCGUUGUCCGGAAUCAUUGGGCGUAAAGAGCGUGUAGGCGGCUUGGAAGGUCAGCUGUGAAAACUCGAGGCUCAACCUCGAGACGUCGGUUGAAACCACCUGGCUAGAGUCCGGAAGAGGAGAGUGGAAUUCCCGGUGUAGCGGUGAAAUGCGCAGAUAUCGGGAAGAACACCCGUGGCGAAGGCGGCUCUCUGGGACGGUACUGACGCUGAGACGCGAAAGCGUGGGGAGCGAACAGG